GGACUACUGGGGUUUCUAAUCCCGUUCGCUCCCCUGGCUUUCGCAUCUGAGCGUCAGGAGCUUGCCAGGACACUGCCUUCGCCUUUGGUGUUCCUCCGGAUCUCUACGCAUUUCACCACUCCACCCGGAAUUCCGUGUCCCUCUCAAGCCCUCAAGUCGACCAGUUUUCAAAGCCCUUUCCCAGUUGAGCCGGGAACUGUCACUCCAAACUUCGCCGACCGCCUGCAUGCGCUUUACGCCCAGUAACUCCGGACAACGCUUGCCCCCUACGUAUUACCGCGGCUGCUGGCAC
This 292-nucleotide ribosomal RNA is filed under the name uncultured bacterium. RNAcentral describes it as "partial 16S ribosomal RNA". The record is from RNAcentral.